This 476-nucleotide ribosomal RNA is filed under the name uncultured bacterium. RNAcentral describes it as "partial 16S ribosomal RNA". It matches the Rfam family "Bacterial small subunit ribosomal RNA", at positions 28 to 523 of the family's 1533-position model. The record is from RNAcentral.
GGUGAACGCUGGCGGCGUGCUUAACACAUGCAAGUCGAGCGAGUGAGUUCUUCGGAACGAUCUAGCGGCGGACGGGUGAGUAACACGUGGGCAACCUGCCUCAUAGAGGGGAAUAGCCUCCCGAAAGGGAGAUUAAUACCGCAUAAAAUUAUCGAGUGGCAUCACAUGAUAAUCAAAGGAGCAAUCCGUUAUGAGAUGGGCCCGCGGCGCAUUAGCUAGUUGGUGAGGUAACGGCUCACCAAGGCGACGAUGCGUAGCCGACCUGAGAGGGUGAUCGGCCACAUUGGGACUGAGACACGGCCCAGACUCCUACGGGAGGCAGCAGUGGGGAAUAUUGCACAAUGGGGGAAACCCUGAUGCAGCAACGCCGCGUGAGUGAUGAAGGUCUUCGGAUUGUAAAGCUCUGUCUCUGGGGACGAUAAUGACGGUACCCAAGGAGGAAGCCACGGCUAACUACGUGCCAGCCGCCGCGGUAA